Molecule: non-coding RNA, 2795 nt
Organism: Elaeis guineensis (African oil palm)
Lineage: Eukaryota; Viridiplantae; Streptophyta; Magnoliopsida; Arecales; Arecaceae
Source: RefSeq, a predicted model, not a curated record
CAGAUUUCUUCCCGCGAUUCGGACCCAAGCGGCAGGCCAACUUCUCUCUGUUCGCGUGGGGUGAGCGAGCAGAACGACCGAGGGAGAGAGAGUGAGAGGAGGAGCGGACGAGAGCGAGAGAGGAGUCCUCCUCUCUGUCCUCUUCGGCAUCGUCGCAGCGUCGUCGCCUUUUGAUUCCGAGCGACUUCGGUUUAGGCCUGUGGUUCCAGCUCAACAAAUGCAUCAGUUCAUCCCAGCAGCCUCUCAGCAUUCCGACCUGUUGGACAAGGUGUUCAUGGUUCAAAUUUUGGAAUGCCUUCUAAUCAAAGUCAACAACCUGCACACCAUUUACCUCCAAGAUCAGGCCCAGCAACAUCACAGUCUUCACAAGCAAUUCCAAUGCCAUAUGUUCUGCCAAGCAGGCCUAUGACAUCUGGGACACUGCAGCCCCAGCAAAAUCCUCAGAUGCCUAACAGUCAUCUGCCUAAUUUAGGUGGCUUAAGAAUGCCUCUUUCUUCAUCUUAUACAUUUACGAUGUCUUAUGGCCAGCCACAACAUACUAUCAAUAUCCCAUCCCAAUAUCAACCAGCAUCCCAGGUGCAAGCACCCAUUACACCUGCAGUCGGACAACCUUGGUCUACACCUGGGACUCAGAAUGUACCUCUUGUUACACCUUUAGUGCAGGUUGCUGCACAAUCUUCAGCUGUGGCAGGCACAGUUGCUCUUUCUUCUCUCCUUCUGAAAAAUCGAGACAACAAAUGCACAACCUAGCUCUGCUGAACAGGCCUUUUCUGAUUGGCAAGUGCACACAUCUGAUGAUGGAAAAAGUAUAUUUUUAAUGGACAUUCAUACUUCCAUGGCAUUCUUUUCCUUCCGGCGUUUUCAGAUCUCGCAUUCUUUUGCUUUUGGCUUUUGGUUUUAUUAUAAAUACAUUAUUACAAUAAGAAGACCAGACAGUCUAGCUAGGAGAAGCCCUUUGAGUUGAUGACACCUAUUGAGAUGUCUUUUGGCACGUCUGGAGCAAAAAAAUGACUGCUCUAUAUGGUCAUUUUGAAGACGGGGUUUCAGUUUUCUCAAGGCAGCCAAUGAUUGCUGAAUUCUUUCUUACAUCAAGGGGCCUGCCGUUUUGUAAUUUUAGUGGUGAGGGCUGAUUCUUCAACUGAUUGGUAGGAAUUCACCACUCCAGAUGGACGAAUAUACUAUUAUAACAAGGUCACAAACGUAUCCAAAUGGAUCAUUCCUGCAGAGCUCAAGUUAGCUUGUGAACAAGCAUUAAGGGCUGCUGCUCAGCAGGCAUGUACAGAAACUGGAGCAGCUUCUGUUGCCCCAGCUGCUCCAACUGUUUCGUCUUGGGAGAUCCCUCCUACAGCUUCUGUUACUCCUGGAGCAACAUCUGCAGUAGUAUGAAGCCCAGUUUCAGUGGCAGCCAAUGCUAUUAUACCUCCCGGUGUGAUGCCUUCAGUAUCAUCAUCUGUUGCUGUUGUACUGUCUGCUGGAAUCCCUUCUAGUUCCUCUUUGGGAAUUCUAAACAAAGUUGGCGCAUCAAAUCUUCAGACACCUGUAACUCCAUUACUGGCACCUGUUCCUGCAAAUACAGUGGUUCCUACUGUUGCAAUAGAAGCUUCAUCAUCUAACACAAAGAGUAAUCAUGACAAUUCCUCUCAUGUAAAUAUUGCAAGUUUGCCUGAUGGAGCUUCUGCUCAGGAUUUGGAGGAAGCGAAAAAGGGUAUGCAAGUUACUGGAAGAAGCAAUGCCACUCCAUUGGAGGAGAAAACAGUUGAUGAAGAACCUUUGUUUAUGCUAAUAAGCAGGAGGCAAAAAAUGCAUUCAAAGCCCUACUGGAAUCUGCAAAUGUUGAAGCUGAUUGGACUUGGGAGCAGGCAAUGAGAGUUAUUAUUAGUAACAAGAGAUACAGCGCAUUAAAGACACUUGGUGAGAGGAAACAAGCAUUUAAUGAGUUGAUUUCUCUUCACUUUAUCCCAGUACUUGGGGCGAAGGAAAAAACAGGAAGCUGAGGAAGGCACAUUAAACAGAAGAAAGCACGAGAAGACUUCACCCAAAUGUUGGAAGAAUGUAAAGAACUUACUUCGUCAACCUGGUGGAGAGCUGUAGCCAUGGUUGAGAGUGAUGAACGGUUUAAUGCUGUUGAGCGGGCAAGAGAUCAUGAGGAUCUUUUUGAAAGCUAUUUGGUGGAUCUCCAGAAGUUUAAGAAUCAUGUGCCAGGUCACUGAGGCAAGAGAUUUCCACAUUUAAUGUGGUGAUGGGAUGCGUGCAUCUUACUGGUUCAAGACAUGCCUUCCAGCAUGCUGUUCCAUCUAUUAUCAUUUCCUUGCUCUAUUCACCCUUGAUAAUAUUUAGAGGGUACCUGACAACCAUUUGUCUUGAUCCCAAAUCCUCGGAUGGUUAUGAGCUCCUUUGAGGUGAUUUUCUCAGGCCACAAGAUAUCGCCAUUUGCUUCAGCAAAGUUUUGAGCUCCAUCCCAUGGUUGGUGGUAAAACUCUAGUAUUUUGUGUGGCAAUGCUGGUGCUUUAAGUUCCAUUCUGAUAGCCUUUGUAUGGUCUAUAUUGCCAAGCUCUUGGAGGCGUGAUACAUCUGGCUUAUCAGGUGGAGCUUUCAGUUGCUCAUAGUUUCCAUAAUGUCACCUAUAUCUAUAUGCCCUGGUGGGAUCCAGAGUUCUGUAUAGCUACUUCAACUGUUUUGCAUUGUUUCUUAUAUAUGGUCAAUGUGUUCAGUUUUACUAAUUCUGAUAUAGAUGAAGAGAUGAGUAGGAUACUGAACUAAUUCUUUAUUUAUUUAUUUAUUUGCAUUUAGCCAAA